Ooceraea biroi (clonal raider ant) is the source of this 729-nucleotide long non-coding RNA. RefSeq lists it as uncharacterized. NCBI's taxonomy places the organism in Eukaryota, Metazoa, Arthropoda, Insecta, Hymenoptera, Formicidae. The record is from RefSeq and is a predicted model, not a curated record.
AGACACAUACAUAAUAAUAAUGAAUAUACUCGCAAUAGGAAUUAUAACUUUCGGUAUGUUCUUCCGAAUAUCUUCAGAUGUUACAAGAGUGAAAUAAUGGAACUGUAUUCCGAGGAAAUGUGUAGAAGUACAUUCAAUAUUUGCACACUUACUUGAAAAAAGUUGAGGCUCACAGUAAUCACCGAAGUCACUGUUAAACAUAAGUACAUGGGAUCAAACAUGGAUAUUAAAUGCUCGGAUAAUCUUUAAACACAAAUAUAGUGCUAUAUAUAAUACACAUGUAUAUUGUCAGCUGAAUAUUAAUGUGUCACAUGAAUAUUAUGAGUUAUUGGAUAUUAUUUAUGAGUGUUUUUGUAUGACAUUUAGAUAAAAUGGUGAAACUCUUUUUUUCUCUAGUUUGAUAAUAGAAUUUAAUGAUCGUUUCAUGUAACAACUAUAUUGAUGACUAUUUUUAUGAUUUAGAUAUUUAUUUUUGUAAUACAUUGGUAGAAAAAUAUCGAAGGUCCUCUCUUUUGAUUAAUGUCCUUUGAGAUGUUUAUUCCUAUCGCAUUUUCGAUGCGAUAACUAUAACAAAUAUGUAUAAUGUUAAAGAAUAAUUUCUUAUUUUUCAUUGUCUGACAAGAAAUAUAUUUUUUUCGAAUAUGCAAUCAUGAAUGUUCCCAUCGCUAUCCAUGCUAUUACUCCAAGAAUUAUAGCUGUAUCUAUGUGCAGCAGAAUUAAGUGGAAAAA